This 1014-nucleotide ribosomal RNA is filed under the name Aegista diversifamilia. RNAcentral describes it as "16S ribosomal RNA". Lineage: Eukaryota; Metazoa; Mollusca; Gastropoda; Stylommatophora; Camaenidae. The record is from RNAcentral.
AUAUAUAUAUAUAAGUCAAACCAAAAAUACUUAUAAAGCAAUUAUUAUAAUAAAUUUAAAAAGGGUGCUUACCUUUUGCAUAAUGGGUUAACUACAAGACAUAUAAACCUUAAAUCACGAAGUAGUUUGAGUUAAAUAUAUUUUAAUAUUAGUUUAGUACUCAUAUGUGGUAUAAUAUGUAGUUAAAAAUAUAUUUAGGGGUGAAAGGCCAACAAAAACUACGAUAACUUGUUAUUCAAUAAAAGUAUUGAGUACGUAAACAGUUGCUAAGUGUUUAGGCUUAGCAAAUAUAUUAAAAAAUAUAUAAUGUGCUUUUAAGGUUUAAUAAUCAAUAGCUAAUAAUAUAUAAUAACAUUAAAUUAUCUAUUUUAUAAUAGCAUAUUGAAUUACUAAUAAUUUUUAUUUAAGUUGAUAAUGUUAAUAUAAGUAAUAAUUUUAAGAUUUUAAAAUUGAACUCGGCAAAACUUCUCUCGUCUGUUUAUCAAAAACAUAACUAUAUGAUAUUAUAUAUAGCAAUUUCUGCUCAAUGAUAUAUAUUAAAUAGCCGCAGUACUCUGACUGUGCAAAGGUAGCAUAAUCAAUUGGCCUAUAAUUAAGGUCUGGAAUGAAAGAAAGCUUGGGGGGGGGCUGUAAAAAGAGAAAAAUUUAAAAUUGCUUAUCAGGUGAAAAUACCUGACUAUAUAUAAUAGACGAAAAGACCCUGGAAAUUUUUAUAAAUAUAGAUUUUUACUAGUUUUUUUUUGUUGGGGCGACAGAAUAACAAAUAACUUAUUUAUAUAUAAUUUGCCAUUUGUAAAUAAAAUAAAUAAAUUACUCCAGGGAUAACAGCAUAAUAUUUAAAAGUUUGUGACCUCGAUGUUGGACUAGGAAUUUAUAGUUCAGAAGAUUAUUAAAAUUGCUCUGUUCGAGCAUUUAUUCCUACAUGAUCUGAGUUCAGACCGGCGUAAGCCAGGUCAGUUUCUAUCUUUAAAAGUUUUGGAAAUAGUACGAAAGGAAUUUUCUUGAUACAUUUUG